UACGGAGGGGGCAAGCGUUGUUCGGAAUUACUGGGCGUAAAGGGCGCGUAGGCGGCUGCUCAAGUCAGGCGUGAAAGGCCUGGGCUCAACCCGGGAAUUGCGCUUGGGACUGGGCUGGCUUGAGUGCGGGAGAGGAUGGUGGAAUUCCCAGUGUAGAGGUGAAAUUCGUAGAUAUUGGGAAGAACACCGGUGGCGAAGGCGGCCAUCUGGACCGCAACUGACGCUGAGGCGCGAAAGCGUGGGGAGCAAACAGG
This 254-nucleotide ribosomal RNA is filed under the name uncultured bacterium. Its description in RNAcentral is "partial 16S ribosomal RNA". It matches the Rfam family "Bacterial small subunit ribosomal RNA", at positions 524 to 776 of the family's 1533-position model. The record is from RNAcentral.